UACCGUUUAGUUUGCUAACGCGUGAAGGCGAGCACUCUAGACGAACUGCCGUUGACAAACGGAAGGAAGGUGGGGAGUGACGUCAAAUCAUCAUGCCCCUUAUGUUCUGGGCUACACACGUGCUACAAUGGCCGGUACAGACGGACGCAAAGCCGCGAGGUGGAGCAAAUACCUAAAAAGACCGGUCUCAGUUCGGAUUGCAGGCUGCAAUUCGCCUGCAUGAAGUCGGAAUCGCUAGUAAUCGCAGGUCAGCAUACUGCGGUGAAUACGUUCCCGGGCCUU
RNAcentral lists this ribosomal RNA (282 nucleotides) under uncultured Desulfosporosinus sp. Its description in RNAcentral is "partial 16S ribosomal RNA". It matches the Rfam family "Bacterial small subunit ribosomal RNA", at positions 1105 to 1382 of the family's 1533-position model. Lineage: Bacteria; Bacillati; Bacillota; Clostridia; Eubacteriales; Desulfitobacteriaceae. The record is from RNAcentral.